Molecule: non-coding RNA, 155 nt
Filed under: Palpitomonas bilix
Lineage: Eukaryota
Source: RNAcentral
AGGAAGAAAUAGAAGGGAAACGGGAAAACAGUGGUGAAGAUCGUGAAAAUAGGCUGAAAAUGGGUAGAAGAUUAUCUUUGUUGCUUACUUUGUACUCACCUUUCCCCUUCCUUCUUCUUAUCUCGUUUUGAAUUUGUGUCAAAACAGAGGAGGUC